RNAcentral lists this transfer RNA (87 nucleotides) under Pangasianodon gigas (Mekong giant catfish). Its description in RNAcentral is "tRNA-Tyr". It matches the Rfam family "tRNA". Rfam says of the family: Transfer RNA (tRNA) molecules are approximately 80 nucleotides in length. The record is from RNAcentral. Lineage: Eukaryota; Metazoa; Chordata; Actinopteri; Siluriformes; Pangasiidae.
CCUUCGAUAGCUCAGUUGGUAGAGCGGAGGACUGUAGAGGUGAAAGCUGACAUCCUUAGGUCGCUGGUUCGAAUCCGGCUCGAAGGA